CCAGAUGUUCCCGUCUCUCUCCACUUCGUGUGAAUCUCCAGAUCUGCCACUCGGCGCUGUCAGUUGUCCCCGGCAUUCGAUGGAAACAGUAACUGACUGUGUCUCUGAGCUGAGACACAACAUCAAGGAUCUGCUGAAGUCUGCAUUACCCAAGAUCUCUGCUACAGUGUCUGCUGUACAUGUUAUACUGCCAGUUGUGCCGAAGACCAGAGAAGAGUUUCUACUUUAUUGCUGUCCUCUAACACUGGAUGUCAACUCAGUCUCCCAAAGGUUUUCGUUUUCACAAGAAUAUCGGCGGGUGCAAAGCCAUUCCUGUCAACAAUAUCAUUCUUCUCACCCAGACAGAUUUGGAUAUGACAGGCAGGUGUUGUGCAGGGAGGGUUUGACAGAGCGAUGCUACUGGGAGGUCAGUUGGAGUCGUUGUACUUUGAGUACUUUGAGUUGUUGUACUUGGUCAGUGGCAGUGUCUUACAAAGACAUCAGCAGAAAAUCGUCUGACUCUGAGUUUGGAAACAAUACCAAGUCGUGGAGUUUAGAGUGUUCCUCAGGUGGUUAUACUUUCCGACACAACAGCAGAAGCGUGGCAGUAUCAGGCCCUAAAACUUCCAAGAUCGGAGUGUACCUGGAUCACAAAGCGGGUAGUCUGUCCUUUUAUAGCAUCUCUGACUCGAUGACUCUGCUCCACAAAGCGCACACCACGUUCACUCAGCCUCUCUAUCCUAGCCUUGGGCACAAGAAUUGUGACAGCUGUGGGAGUCAUGCAGAAGUGAUGAAGUUAUGGUAGUGAGAUUUAUAUUGGAGUACUGGAGAUUGCACUUUACUCCGGUAUGUCUGGUGGUGGAUUAGAUGAUGUGAUUUCAAUGAAAGAGCCAAUUUUCUUAGCAGUGCUUACAAGAGAUGCUGAUAAAAUGUUUGGUUUUCUGUGAUGAGGGUUUUUUGUCUUUGAUAUUCUAUAACUAUAAAGUAACAUGUUAAGCAUCAACUUUUAAAAGCCAGUAUAAGGACUUUCCUAAAACCUGCUAGAACUGAUAGAAGUGACUUGUUUUUGUUACUUGGCAUCGGCAGGAACAAAAUGCUCAUCGCAGUUCAAGUGGAUUUCUUAAUGUUUUUUGCAAAGAGUUACUUGUUUAUACUUGAUUCAUUUGAGUUUCUGCUCAAUAGUCUUUGUCUUAACUCUUUUUGUGACUUUUACUAACUCCUGUGGGAUUUGCAGCAUCUGGUUCUUUAGCUGUCUGUGGUUUAGUGUGUCGUUUAGUGCAGAGCACUGUUUAAAACUUACACGUUUGCAAUGUUAUGAUGCUGGAUUGCCAACUCUUUUGGAAUUCCUACUUGCCUAAAAUGGCUAUUUGGGAAAUUAUGACACUUGCUUUCAUCAGAGUUGCAUUCGUUUUAGUGCGUUGGACAGUUGUUGUUUGCAAUCUGCAGUUGUCUUGUUCAGAAGAAUGGAUCUGUCUUUUUUUUUGUCUGUUAUUCCAUUUAUCCAGCCAAUUUGAGCAUA
This is a long non-coding RNA of Acanthochromis polyacanthus (spiny chromis), 1498 nucleotides long. RefSeq lists it as uncharacterized. The record is from RefSeq and is a predicted model, not a curated record. Lineage: Eukaryota; Metazoa; Chordata; Actinopteri; Pomacentridae. The transcript is spliced from 3 exons.